GGGGGUGUAGCUCAGUAGAGAAGAGCGCCUGUCUGUCGAACAGAAAGUCGCGGGUUCAAGUCCCGUCAUCCCCG
Molecule: transfer RNA, 74 nt
Filed under: Merismopedia glauca CCAP 1448/3
Lineage: Bacteria; Bacillati; Cyanobacteriota; Cyanophyceae; Synechococcales; Merismopediaceae
Rfam family: tRNA
About the family: Transfer RNA (tRNA) molecules are approximately 80 nucleotides in length.
Source: Rfam by way of RNAcentral